UAUUUUUUGUUCCUUUUCUUACAACAGCAUAGCAUGUCUUCGGCUAUAGCCACUCUUGCCAUUCCCAUCAUUUUUCUUUUUUAAAAAAUUAUCUUUUGUUUUUGGCACUAAAUGUUUUGUCUUCUGUUUCUAGAUGCUAAAAACCUAGAAUUUACAAAUAUUUUUCAAGGUCAAACCAUGAUGUAUGGAUUUAGCUGCAACAUGCACAUUUGAAAUUGUAAUCAACAUACAGCUAUUCCUAACUUUUAAAAAAAGUCAUAUUACAAGCAAAACAUGGAAAAAUACUGUCUGAUGCCCUUUUCUAGUUAAGAACUUCCACCAGUCCCAGUUGCAGAACUACUGUGCUUUUACAUCAUCUAGUAGAAGAUUCAAACCCACUGUACAGCAGUGCUCUCACCUUCCAUUACCUACCACAGUGUGAUCCCAUUGGAAGUGCACAAGGAAGGUCAAGUGGCCUGUUCCCUUUUAUCUGCAGAAAACUGGGACCAGUUGUUGGACAAGAGCUGAAUACCUCUUCCUUCAGCUAUAAAUGGCCUAGUCAGAAAAUCAAGGUAAGAAGUGCUUUAAUUUUAUCAAUAAAGGAUUUUAAAUCAGCCUAUGCUGAUUUCAGAUGCAUCUGUGCCUUCCUGUCAGAAUUCAUAUUGUAUUCAGAAAGGAAUGGAAC
RNAcentral lists this long non-coding RNA (664 nucleotides) under Dromaius novaehollandiae (emu). Its description in RNAcentral is "lncRNA (ENSDNVG00000016083.1)". Lineage: Eukaryota; Metazoa; Chordata; Aves; Casuariiformes; Dromaiidae. The record is from RNAcentral.